This 62-nucleotide transfer RNA is filed under the name Platevindex mortoni. RNAcentral's name for it is "tRNA-Ala". The record is from RNAcentral. Lineage: Eukaryota; Metazoa; Mollusca; Gastropoda; Systellommatophora; Onchidiidae.
GGAGAUGUACUUUAUAUAGAAGGAUUGGUUUGCAGCCAAUUAGAGGCUAAUGCUCAACUCCA